RNAcentral lists this ribosomal RNA (473 nucleotides) under uncultured bacterium. Its description in RNAcentral is "partial 16S ribosomal RNA". It matches the Rfam family "Bacterial small subunit ribosomal RNA", at positions 28 to 507 of the family's 1533-position model. The record is from RNAcentral.
GAUAAACGCUGGCGGCGCACAUAAGACAUGCAAGUUGAACGGACUUAAUCGAAAUAUUUAUAUUUUGAAGCGGUUAGUGGCGGACUGGUGAGUAACGCGUAAGGAACCUGCCUAUUAGAGGGGAAUAACAGUGAGAAAUCAUUGCUAAUACCGCAUAUGCCAUAGAUAUCACAUGAUAACAGUGGGAAAGGAGCAAUCCGCUAAUAGAUGGCCUUGCGUCUGAUUAGAUAGUUGGUGGGGUAACGGCCUACCAAGUCGACGAUCAGUAGCCGGACUGGGAGGGUGAACGGCCACAUUGGGACUGAGAUACGGCCCAGACUCCUACGGGAGGCAGCAGUCGGGAAUAUUGCGCAAUGGAGGAAACUCUGACGCAGUGACGCCGCGUAUAGGAAGAAGGUUUUCGGAUUGUAAACUAUUGUCGUUAGGGAAGAGAAAGGACAGUACCUAAGGAGGAAGCUCCGGCUAACUACGUG